Molecule: ribosomal RNA, 560 nt
Filed under: uncultured bacterium
Lineage: Bacteria
Description: bacterial SSU rRNA
Rfam family: Bacterial small subunit ribosomal RNA
Source: RNAcentral
GGCGGCGUGCUUACACAUGCAAGUCGAACGAACCUUCGGGUUAGUGGCGGACGGGUGAGUAACGCGUGAGAAUCUGCCCUCAGGAGGGGGACAACAGUUGGAAACGACUGCUAAUACCCCAUAUGCCGCGAGGUGAAAUGAAUUUCGCCUGAGGAUGAGCUCGCGUCUGAUUAGCUAGUUGGUGUAGGUAAUGGCUCACCAAGGCAUCGAUCAGUAGCUGGUCUGAGAGGAUGAUCAGCCACACUGGGACUGAGACACGGCCCAGACUCCUACGGGAGGCAGCAGUGGGGAAUUUUCCGCAAUGGGCGAAAGCCUGACGGAGCAACGCCGCGUGAGGGAUGAAGGCCUCUGGGCUGUAAACCUCUUUUAUCAAGGAAGAAGAUCUGACGGUACUUGAUGAAUAAGCCACGGCUAAUUCCGUGCCAGCAGCCGCGGUAAUACGGGAGUGGCAAGCGUUAUCCGGAAUUAUUGGGCGUAAAGCGUCCGCAGGCGGCCCUUCAAGUCUGCUGUUAAAAAGUGGAGCUUAACUCCAUCAUGGCAGUGGAAACUGUUGGGCUUGA